CCUCCGCGAGGAGGGGGCGACGAACAGGGAAGCGGAGACGGCGGCGGUCCCCACAGCAGCAGCAGCAGCAACAGCCGCCGCCGCCGCCUCAGCACUGAGCAGNAGGAGGCGAGAACGGGCCCAGGGUCUGGAGCUGAGUUCCCGUCACGGCGAAGGCCCUGGGCGGCCCACUAGGGGCCCGAGAGGGCUGCGCAUCACUACGCUCAGGUGCGACGAAGCGCCCAACCCGGGCAGCGGCGGCGGCGGCAGCAGCAGGCGGCGCCUCGAGGGAGCACGCGAGCGAAACGCUUUCCCCGUCGAGCAGCCAGACCCGCCUCCUGCUUCGCUCGCUGCCUGCUUGUGUCACCGCCGCCUCACUACCUCCUCCUCCCUCUCUGCUCGUUUUUGCUGGAAGAAGCAGAUGCCCCCCCAGGCCGGGCUCCUCACAAGAGGAGGAGGAGGGGGCAAAGCGGGCGGGAAAGCUGAGAUUGGGUAAACAGCUCUCCAGCCUGGCGUGGCGCUGCCAUUGGCUGAGCCGAAACACCACGGCGGCUGGGAGAAGAGGCGGCAGGCGAGGCGAGGAGGCGAGGCGAGGAGCAGCAAGGAAAUCGGGUGCGCGCUGCCGCUGCUGCUGUCACUGCCGUGGGAUGCGCCUCCGAGCGGGAGCUGCAUUCUCACAUGAGGAAAAAAUUUCCGGAUAUGGAACUGCUUACACCCGACCCAGCCAUCUGCACCUAGACCCAGUACACACAGUAAUUGGUUAACCAUUGAGGUGGUUAUAAGCAUGGAAGAGGUAAUGGGGAAAAGGGUCUCUUCCCAGGCGGGGCUCAGUAUGGUUGGUUGGCUCACACACCUAAAAAGGGCAAGGGCGAACAUACCUAGCCCACAAUGUGAUCACCNUGUAGAGAGCAAAUCGAAGUGGCUACUGUGGUCCUAGCCAAUCCCAGCACAGGUUUCCCAUGCCUAGUGAGUCCAGUGCAGGAUAACAAUUUGUAGGAGACCUCUGGAAAAAUGGCUCCCUUCCACUAUUGGCAAGUGGAGGAAAUAGAGGCUGUCUUACAAGCGCUCCCAUCUACUCGCAUACCCAGGGAGCGUCUAAUGGUNUGCACAUGCAGACAAAACCGUAGCCUCUUCCUUGAGGCAUUGAAGAAGCUGCUCUCCCAAGGUUUCCAGUGCAGCAUGGAGCAAUGGCG
RNAcentral lists this long non-coding RNA (1172 nucleotides) under Salvator merianae (Argentine black and white tegu). RNAcentral's name for it is "lncRNA (ENSSMRG00000008354.1)". Lineage: Eukaryota; Metazoa; Chordata; Lepidosauria; Squamata; Teiidae. The record is from RNAcentral.